ACGCUCGACACCUACGGGAGGCAGCAGUGGGGGAUAUUGCGCAAUGGGGGAAACCCUGACGCAGCAACGCCGCGUGAAGGACGAAGGUUUUCGGAUUGUAAACUUCUUUUGUCAGGGACGAAGAAAUGACGGUACCUGACGAAUAAGCUCCGGCUAACUACGUGCCAACAGCCGCGGUAAUCUGAGCGGGCUGGCAAGGC
This 200-nucleotide ribosomal RNA is filed under the name uncultured bacterium. Its description in RNAcentral is "partial 16S ribosomal RNA". It matches the Rfam family "Bacterial small subunit ribosomal RNA", at positions 328 to 539 of the family's 1533-position model. The record is from RNAcentral.